Molecule: ribosomal RNA, 456 nt
Filed under: Orgichneumon calcatorius
Lineage: Eukaryota; Metazoa; Arthropoda; Insecta; Hymenoptera; Ichneumonidae
Description: partial 28S ribosomal RNA
Source: RNAcentral
CCUGAGAAACCCGAAAGAUCGAAUGGGGAGAUUCAUCGUCAGCGUUUCCGGUAGGUGUGCGGCUCGCGAUGUCGGAGACUUCGGUUUCGCGGCACGCGUCCGCAUGUUUUUUUAUUGCUGGAAUCGUCGGCGUGCACUUCUCCCCUAGUAGGACGUCGCGACCCGUUGGGUGUCGGUCUACGGCACGGUAGGUAGCCUGUCACGUUUGGCGCUUCACGGCGUUACGCGGGGCAGACCUCCGUUCGCCCGACCGGCUGCCCGGCGGUACUCGCAAGGUAUCUGGCCGCAGACAUACGAACUGCGUCCGGCCCGUCGCAAGCGCGGCAAGUGUUUCCCGGCUGUACGGAUCCAAUGCCGUCACCGGGCCUUGCCAGCUGUUGGUUGACGGUGUCCUGGGACUGGCUAACAAAAUUAUGAUACCGGUCGGCGACGCUACUGCUUUGGGUACUUUCAGGA